This 172-nucleotide non-coding RNA is filed under the name Gillisia sp. Hel_I_86. The record is from RNAcentral. Lineage: Bacteria; Pseudomonadati; Bacteroidota; Flavobacteriia; Flavobacteriales; Flavobacteriaceae.
UCCAUCUUGAGGUGGAAUGUGAAGGAAGCCGGCGGCAAAGUUUCGACCCGAGGAACACGAACAUCAUCAGGCAUAUGCAAUGCGGAUAAGGUUGCAACACAAACCAAAGUCCAAAAGCUACACGGGCAUUGUCGUGUAAAUGGUGCGGGUACAUGGAACGAAAGUUAUUGGU